This is a long non-coding RNA of Archocentrus centrarchus (flier cichlid), 346 nucleotides long. RefSeq lists it as uncharacterized. NCBI's taxonomy places the organism in Eukaryota, Metazoa, Chordata, Actinopteri, Cichliformes, Cichlidae. The record is from RefSeq and is a predicted model, not a curated record. The transcript has 3 exons.
CAACACUUUAGUACAACCCAGAGAGAAAAGAUGCGGCAGAUGCUUUCGCCUGCUCAAAGGGCCGCGGUGCUGUCAGCUCGGAUCCGUCUUCGUUUAGGAAGGCGCUUGUUCGUCAAUCCCUGGCGUGGCUCAGCAGGAGGCCGGCUUCCACAACAGGCUCAUGUGUGGCAUCAUAAAUCCACAUUAGCGGAGGACGAGGCAUCUCGUGGGGAAGGAGACUGCAGCGGGAAAGGUCAGCGGCUGGGGCAACGUGCCAGGUGUUUGCGGAGCAGCAGACCAGUGCGGCGUGGUGAAUGUAAUUACGGCACUCUGGCAAUCUGAUAACCUGCCAGCCUGUCUCUCAACA